RNAcentral lists this long non-coding RNA (1195 nucleotides) under Olea europaea subsp. europaea. Lineage: Eukaryota; Viridiplantae; Streptophyta; Magnoliopsida; Lamiales; Oleaceae. The record is from RNAcentral.
AAGCUGGAAAGUCCUUAUUGAAAAUCAAAUGUCUACAAAGAUUAAAAUUUUGAGAACUGAUAAUGGACUUGAAUUUUGCAACUCAGAAUUUGAUAAACUUUGUGAAUCAAAUGGAAUCCUAAGACACAAAACUGUCCCAUACACACCUCAACAGAAUGGGGUGGCUGAGAGAAUGAAUAGGACCUUGUUGGAUAAGGUUAGGUGUAUGAUGGUGGGAUCAGGAGUUCCUAAGGUGUUGUGGGGGGAGGCUGUAAUGACAGCUACAUAUAUAGUGAAUAGAACCCCUUCUAGUGCUUUGGAAGGUAAGACACCUGAAGAGAAGUGGUCUGGAAAAAUACCAGACUAUUCCCACCUUAGAAUAUUCGGGUGUACAGCUUAUUGUCACCAGAAUUUGGGGAAACUGGAGCCAAGGGCUCAGAAAUGUGUGUUCUUAGGUUAUCCUGAAGGAAUUAAGGGCUAUAGGUUAUGGGCUAGAGGUCAAGGAGGGUAUAAAAUGAUAACAAGUAGAGAUGUUACCUUCAAUGAGGAAGAGAUGCCCUGUUUAGAAAAACAAAAGUCUGCAGACCCUGAAAACCCAAGUGUGACAAGGUUUCAGGUGGAGUUGGGAUCUCAAACUGAUUCUGUUCCUAAUAAUGUGAGAGAAAAUGAACCUACACUACCUCAGACUCAAACUGAAUUAGAAAAUUCAGGUGUGGAGGAACAUGAACAAACUGAAAUGGAUGAUCCCAGUCAACAAAGUGAUCUUAGUGACUAUCAAUUGACUAGGGAUAGGCCUAGAAGGAACAUAAGAGAACCUACAAGAUAUGAAGACUAUCUAUCCUAUUCUGUCAUGUCUUAUAAUGACCUAGCCUAUAAGGAACCCAAGACCUAUAGUGAAGCCAUGAGUUGUAACCAGUCUGGCAAGUGGGAAGUUGCCAUGAGAGAAGAGAUGAGUUCUCUAAUGAAGAAUAAAACUUGGGAUCUUGUGCCUAGACCCAAAAAUAAAUCCAUAGUUGACUGUAAAUGGAUUUACAAGGUGAAAGAAGGCAGUUCAGAUAAUGAGCCUGUGAGAUUUAAAGCAAGAUUAGUUGCUAAAGGGUUUACACAAAAACAGGGUGUAGAUUACAAUGAGAUAUUUUCACCCGUUGUAAAAUACACAACUAUAAGAGUCCUACUAGCAUUAGUUGCACAUCACAAUUGGGAAUUAGAACAAAUG